GGGGGGGGGGGGGGGUCAUUUUAGAUUUCAAUGUUUGCAAUAAUGUUAUCAACAUCUAUUCAUCUUGGUUUCAGAAAGAGGUUUCAGUAUGAUAGUUAUCAAUUCCAUUCUAGAAUUGCAUAAAGGAACUUCAUUUAUUUAAUUUUUUGAACGGGUUUUACAUGCAUAAAGAAACAACUAGGUCAGGUGGAAGUUGUCAUCGUUUUCCUAGGUUGUCUCAACUUUUAUCGUUUGAGAGGGGUGGACAUUUUUUUUUCAGAAUCACCAACACACUAAUGAGUUUUGUUGUUUAAUAUUAUAGUUACAGAUUCUAUAACCUGGCACCCCUUCUGUAUAAUCUGUCAUGGAAUCUCUCCCAAAGUAAUUGUUGUGUUCGUCAUUUUACGGAAUGAUUUGCGUUCUAAGCAUCUGUGAUAUCUUGAAUAUUAUUUAUAUGAUAUAAUUGUAGGCAUCCAUGUUGUUGUGGCUUUUAUUAUGUAUAUAGGUUGGCCACCACUUCUCUUUGACUGAUGUGUUUAAUUGUGGAAACCCACAUUAAACAUCUGUUGCUCUAUUAAUAGAUUAUAGAAUUCAUCAUUUACCAUUGAUUGCUAUAUUAAGAUUAUGGGGACCACAAUUUACCAUUGGUUGCUAUAUUUAGAUUAUGGGGACCACAAUUUACCAUUAGUUGCUAUGUCAAAAUAAUAUGUAUCACCAUAUUUGGCUGAUUGAUAUAUUGAUAGAUUAUGGAAACCGUGAUUUACCAUUGGUUGCUAUAUUUAGAUUAUAGAGAUCACCUUUUCUCACUGGUUGUUUUGUAACAUACAUUAACAUUAAUUGACUUCCAUUUGACAUGUUUGUACAAACCUAUGUUGGCAGUACAGUUACUGUUGAAGUUUGACCGGUAGAAAGGUUUCAGAUUUGUCUUGACUGUUGUAGGUACCAAGGUUGGUUUGACCAGUGUAGGUACCAAGCUUGGUUUGACCGGUGUAGGUACCAGGCUUGGUUUGACCGGUGUAGGUCCCACGCUUGGUUUGACCGGUGUAGGUACCAAGCUUGGUUUGACCGGUGUAGGUACCAAGUUUGGUUUGACCGGUGUAGGUACCAAACAUGGCUUUACCAGUACAAAUGUUUAAGCAUCAACUAAUGUUUUUAUAUAACAUGUAGCUGCCAAGUAUUUUUCUGUCUGUCAAUAUCUCUCAUUGAUAAGAGUAUAACCCUGUUUACAGCAUCUUAGCUAAGGUUGAACCAUUUCUCAUAAAGGAUUUAAAGUCACAGCAGAGCAGUAUGAUGGUCAAAUACAUCUCAUCAAUGUAGUUUCAACCAUUUUGAUAAUGUUUGACUUUUUAAUCAUUUUUUUUAUUGGAAUAAUAAUAUUGUUCCAUGGGUAUCUGUUGAUUCAAAUUCAUUCAAUGUUAAUUAUAUUAUCUUGGAUUCAAUAUAAACCUAGUUAUCGCUCUAUAAUCUAUAUAAAAAAUGUUUAUUUAUUUGUCAGAUUCAUUUAUUGGUACAUCUGCUACAAGCUUCAAAAUUUUAAGAAAUAUUCUGCAUUUUUUCUUCCUUUUUUCAGACAUUUUCAAAGAUACAAGAAAUUGAUAUAUCACUGCAUGUUACCUCUAAAUUGUGCAUGUAACAUCUAAAAACAUUUUAAAAAACAAUUUUUUUACCAAUCUUUUUCUUUUUGGCUAUUGAAGAUAAUUUCUUGCUUAUAAAUUUAAUUUUCAGAAUUAACUGAUUUUUUUCGUAAACAGAUAUAUCUACUUUAGUAUCUUAUAUUUAAGUUUGGUUUUAAUUUUUAUUGAAUUUUGAACAAAUUUGUAAGUGCUUUAUUUUAUCCAAGCUAAGGCUUCAGUUGAUUUUGGUGACAUUUACUUGCUAGGCUUUGUUUCCAGCAACAACUGAAGUUAUAGAUAAUAUUAUUUAGGUCCGUAUUUUUGUAGUCCUUGUUAAUUUCUUUUACUUAUUCAAAAAUGAUUAUCCAUGCUGUGCAGUCCUUUUUAAACAUUUGCUAGUAUGCCUGUUUUCUGUGAGAAGCCAUUUCCGUCCACUUUGGACACCGUAAGUACAUUAUAUACCGGUUUAGAGGUUAUCCGCAUGUAAACGAAUAAAUUACCUAACAUUGGA
This is a long non-coding RNA of Pecten maximus, 2103 nucleotides long. RefSeq lists it as uncharacterized. NCBI's taxonomy places the organism in Eukaryota, Metazoa, Mollusca, Bivalvia, Pectinida, Pectinidae. The record is from RefSeq and is a predicted model, not a curated record. The transcript is spliced from 2 exons.